RNAcentral lists this ribosomal RNA (458 nucleotides) under uncultured bacterium. RNAcentral's name for it is "bacterial SSU rRNA". It matches the Rfam family "Bacterial small subunit ribosomal RNA", at positions 338 to 796 of the family's 1533-position model. The record is from RNAcentral.
CCUACGGGAGGCAGCAGUAGGGAAUCUUCCGCAAUGGGCGAAAGCCUGACGGAGCAACGCCACGUGGACGAUGAAGGCCUUCGGGUCGUAAAGUCCUGUCAGAGGGGACGAUGGUUGAUCUUCGGAUUGACUGACGGUACCCCCAGAGGAAGCUCCGGCCAACUACGUGCCAGCAGCCGCGGUAAUACGUAGGGAGCAAGCGUUAUUCGGAUUUACUGGGCGUAAAGAGUGCGUAGGCGGCUGGGUAAGUCAAGGGUGAAAUCUCUGCUCUCAAGGCAGAAACUGCCCUUGAUACUACCCGACUCGAGGACAGGAGAGGGAAGUGGAACUCUGGAAGUAGCGGUGAAAUGCGUAGAUAUCCAGAGGAACGCCAGUGGCGAAGGCGGCUUCCUGGUCUGUCCCUGACGCAGAGGCACGAAAGCUAGGGGAGCGAUCGGGAUUAGAUACCCCGGUAGUCC